UCAGAAUGUGCUUGCUCUAUUUUCAAACAAAGAAAAUAAUCUGAAGUUAUCUUUAUUUCUAAAUUAUUGUGCCGUGAUUUUACCAGUCCAGCCCACUAUGGACUAGAUUUUUCUCCAUGUGGCCUAUCUAAAAUGAGUUUGACAGCCCUGUUCUAAUGUAAUUUUGAAUUUACUCCAUACGUUUUUGCGUUGCUUUUAUUUUGAAACGCAUCCCGGAAAUGACUUCCAACGCCGCGUGGAGCUUGACAGCCGUCCUCUAGUCGGCCGAUGAGAGCCUCCUUGAGUUCAGUCCUCCCGGUGUGCACAGAGGACGCGGUGUGCUCCGGACGCAGCAAGCAGGACCGGAGCCUGGCCGACUCGGAGCAGCUGAGCCCCCGGACGGAGCACACAGCGACGGGAGUCAGUGGGCUCCGUGCUGCGCCACCUCAGAUGAUCCCUCGCCGCUCCACGGAGGACACACUGCAGGUGAAAUCGGCGCUAAUCACAAGAUGAAAGGAGCGGACGGGGGCGCGAGAGUGACGGUGGACAAGCUGAACGGGGACCCCAAGAGGAGGCCGAGCUACCCGGGAGAGCUUCGGGCCAAACACGUCAACAUGUCCGGCAAGAUUUGGCCAAACUCCCCGAACAACGCCACCAGCACCGCAGCGCCUAACCGCACCGACUGCGCGCCCUAAUUUGGAUGAGCGCGCCGUGGUGGUAAGUGAUGGACGGAUGGAGGAGGAGGGGGACGUCCGGAGUUUGUUCGGGAUGCUGCUGGGCGGACUAAAGAGGGGAUGCACCAGCUGGACCCUCUCCUGAAUUUGUCCUUGAAGGACCUCCAUGGACCCCCUCAGGCAUGACCAUCAAAAGCAUUAUUCUAGUUCAGUGGUUCUUAACCUUGUUGGAGGUACCGUCCGAACCCCACCAGUUUCAUAUGCGCAUUCACCGAACCCUUCUUAGUGAAAAAUAAAAUGUUUUUUUUUUUUCAAAUUCAAGACAAAGUUAUAUGUUUUUGGUAACACUUUAGUAUGGGGAACAUAAUCUAAGUCAGGGGUCCCCAACCUUUUUGUAGCUAAGGACCGGUCAAAGUUUGAUAAUUGGGGGGGGGGGGGUAAUAUUUUUUAAAAAACAAUUUUUUGUCAUGAAAAAGGGAGUUUUUUUGGGUUGGUGCACUAAUUGGAAGUGUAUCUUGUGUUUUUUAUGUUGAUUUAAUAACAAUUUCUUUUUUUUUUUUAUAAAAAAAUACUAAAAUUAAUAAAAAAAUAUUCUGCUGCCCGGUACUGGUCCACAGCCCGGUGGUUGGGGACCACUGAUCUAAGUAACAAAGUCUUAAUUUAAAGUUAUUAGAACACUAGGGGAACAUAUUCUAAGGAACAAAUACUUAAUUUAGAGUUAUUUGGACAUUAGGGGAACAUAUUCUAAGUAAUAAAGACUUAAUUUAGAGUAAUUUGGUUAGGGUUAGGGUCAGGGUUAGAGGGAUAGGGUUAUAACAAGGCCAUGCCGAAUAAGGGAUUAACAAGUACUUAAUCAUGUCUAGUUAAGAGCCAUUAUGUUACUAAUUUGCAUGAUAAAAGCAACUAAUUAAUGGAAAAUAUGUUCCCCAUACUAAAGUGUUACCAUGUUGUUUUUACUAGUACACAAAAUGAACCGUGCAUGAACAUUUGUUCAAACAAAACCAACACAGUGCAUAAACUCACAACAAAUUACAAACCUGCAAAUCAUUCAGCUGUUGCCGUAUCCGUAAUACGCCGAUAGGGUGAAGUUUGUAAUCAUACGAUGAGUCGGGUGUGUUUUGACCUCCGCCAAACCCUUAAAGCCGACUCACCGAACCCCUAGGGUUCGAUCGAACCUAGGUUAAGAACCACUUUUCCAUUCAACUUUAUAGGAACACCUCCAUGGACUUUCACCAGUUCUCUCCCCUUUAAGAAUGCUUGGAGAAGAACCCCUUAGCUUGUCUUUACAGAGAUGUCUCACUCUGACGACAUGUGAUCUGCCUUGUUCCCUUCUUUCACAGCAGGGUGCUGUUGUACUAUUCAGGUAUCUUCAAAUGUAGCAGAAGAUGUAGCUUACGGUCUUGCUGUAAAGAGACACACACACAUGAUAUCCUAUCAAAUCUCCCUAGUAUCUUUUUAGAGUCACAUUUGAGCUUCAAUGCAAACCUUUGUAAUGUCCAGCUCACUUCCUGUCCUCAAAGUGACUUUUGUUGCUGUAGGACUGCAAUGAUUAUAAUGAUAAACUAUGCAUUUAUUCCA
Molecule: long non-coding RNA, 2231 nt
Organism: Nerophis ophidion (straightnose pipefish)
Lineage: Eukaryota; Metazoa; Chordata; Actinopteri; Syngnathiformes; Syngnathidae
Exons: 2
Source: RefSeq, a predicted model, not a curated record